Long non-coding RNA from Papio anubis (olive baboon), 3549 nucleotides. Lineage: Eukaryota; Metazoa; Chordata; Mammalia; Primates; Cercopithecidae. The record is from Ensembl.
AAAACCCCAAUAAAGGCCCUGUAGACUCGGGCUUUCCUUUUUGUUUUCUUCUACCAUCUGACCCAAAUCUUGUGCUUCCAAAAAUGUUCUGCAUCACAUGCUGUGGCCCCUUCUCUGUGACCUUUCCGUCAACAGAAAUCUUAGAGGCAGAGAGAGCAAAACCUGAUACACAGCCCUGGAAUCACUGGAAUCAGAGAUGUCAGAAGAUCUUUCCAGAAAGAUUUAUCUGGCCAGAGCAGCUCUAUUUCUCAGUUAUCUUCAAGACACUAAGUAUCUCUGGAAAAUGCCAUGUUACUCUUGUUUCAAGGUUUUUCACAGCUGGUUGUUACAUUGGAUACCCUGGUGCCAAAUGUCUCCUCCUAGCUUGUAGCACAGUCCUCAAAUUCACUCACGUCAUGGUGAAAUAUAUGAAUGGACACUGAAACUCAGGAUCACAGUAGACUGGGAAGGGCAGCAAGCAUGCAUUUGCAAUGCCAAGGCUUUCUUCCAAGAACCAUUCCCUCUAUCUAUCAUUUUAAAAAUAAAUGUAUAGCAUAGAUAAUAUAGUCUUGUCUUCAUAAAAACUUUCUGUUAGUCUAUCCAAAUAAAUGUAUAAAAUAUACUUGGCUAACAAUGACAUCUACUCUUAUUUUUGAGAGUUAGAAUUAAGGCAGAUUUUAAAAACUUAUUCUGUAAGUUCCUGACAUUGUCUCAAUUAUUAAAAUAAUCAUAUAAGCUAAAAAAUAACAUUUUUGCCAAGUAUCUUAAGAAACGAAAAUAUGUUUUCUCUAAAAACACAGAUUUAACAUAAUUCUCUUGUAGAUAAUGACCUUAAACCCAUACGUACAAGAUAUUCUGGACAUACAAUAGUUCACCUUAUAAUUUCUUAGAAAUUUGACAGAAUUAAACAUUAUUUUCAAAAAUUUUAUGUUAAAACACUCUAUCUUAUGUACAUCAUGAAUUUCUAUGCAAAGAUCUCAUCAGCAAAAUGAACUGCAUUUCAAAUUAAGCAUAGCAUGAACCUCUCUUUAAAAAGAAAAACUUUUAUAUAAAAAGUUAAAAUCUGAUGCUGCUAAAAUAAGUUUCUGUUUAACUCACAAUAUGUCUAAGUCAAAAUAAUCCAUAUUAUCUAAUCAGUUUUCCAUUCAGUAUGAACCUUCAUGAUCGCUUUACAAUAUAUACUUUUGGAAGGAAGUAAAUGUUUUGUCAAUUAACUACAAAUUCUAUAUGCCUGAAAGAUCAAGGGCUUAUCUACAUUUGCACCUAUAUAAAAGACCAAAUUUUUUCUAUUAUAAACUAUACUUGCUCUUCAUGCUUAAUCAGUGCACAUAUAAAAAGGCAUGAAGUAUCCAAUUCUCUGCACACAAUUUUCAGAAGCUAAGGUGAAUUGGCUGUCCUGUGUCUUUGACUCAAAUUAAUAACUAAGAGAGUUCUUGAAAAUAAAAUAUGUUUAGUCAUCUUUAAUCAAGUGAAUAAAUUGACUAAUAAGAAGGGCCCAGUGAUCACUCUCUGGAGAAAUACAUUAAUUCAUGUAUACACUUGAGCCUUUCACCCAGAAAGAGGUCAUUUAUACUCUCUGUACUGAUUGCUAUGUUAAGUGCAUUUUGGGCUGGGUAAACAUUCAACUUGCUUCAUAAAAUGAUGGUUUAGGUCCCUGGAUAACUGUUAAGAUUGCAAACACCAAAUGAGUAUGUGAGAGACUUUCUGUUUUAAAACAAAAUAAGCAGGUUAUAAAAUGCUUAGCAUUUUUUUCUAGUUCAGGAUGUGAGUUUAUUGACAUGAAGUUUUAUUUUCAAAAGCAACAGACAUAACAUAUAAAAAAUAAAAUACAUUGUAUUAUAUUCCUUUUGAUUUAAGUAUUUUAUAAUUUACAACAAUAUUCAUAAUACAACCUAAACAGACAAAGAGUUUUAGACAGGCAAUCAUGUAAUGUGUCAGAGUUAGACUACAAAAAAUUCUCUAUAAAAGGGAAAAAAGAUGUUUUACUUUUUUUGAUUAUUUGUCAUAAUAUAACAAUUUUACAAAAGUGGUGCAUUCAAACUUAAAAGCUGUAAGAUUCAAAUCCAUUCAAAUUAAACAAAGAGAAAAGAAUAUAAAUCUUGAACAAAGUACUUAGAUGUGUGUUAAAACCACAAUGCCCUAGGGACAACUCAAAUGAAAAACAUAACACUGCUCAUCUCAAGUCACAGCCACAGCCUGCAUAUAGGAUAAGUUUUGCUCUCAUUCUACAAUAUACUUAAUAGUCCAGCACUUAGUCUUUGCUCUUUCUAAACAAUACAUUCCAUAGGAUCUUGGGAUGUGAAAGCCAUAUAUUUCCAGCUUUCCACAGGACUGUCAGGCAGGCUUCAGGCACAUUUUUUGCCUUUUUUAAGUUGAUAAGAAAAAAAGGACUAUUUAUAUUUUUAUUUUUUAUGAAAAAUUCCUAUUUUUCACAAAUAGGAAAAAUGAGUUGUAAUCGUGGAAUCUAACUUACUUAGGUUCACGCAAAUGAUAUGGCACAAGAAUAUUCAGCUUUAAAGUUCGCACCCUUAUAACAACUAUACGAAACUGAACAAUAUGUGAGUGUAAUUAAUAUGUCAUGACUACAUGUGUCUAUACUGGGACACACUGUUUCCAUUAUUUCUGUAUCAGACAGAGGUUUUAUUUCAUAUGAACCCAAGAUGUGAGUCUUUUAAUUUCAGAAGUUAAGUAGAGGACAAAUUUUGUAUUAUUCACAUUGAGGUAAUAUUUACAUUCUAAGAACAGCUGAGAGGAUGGAGAGAGAGUAUGUGCAUACAGAAAAGAAAGGAGCAUAAAGUGUAACCUUAGUAAAUGUCCGUGUAUGAGAGUAACAGAAUGAGAAUUGUAAAUAUCUAAGUUAGAAGAAAAUCAAAGCAGAAAACCAGGUGCCAUAUAACCAAAUCAAGGAAAAUUGAAGCAUUAAAAUGUCAUUAAUAGCGUGAACCUGGGAGGCGGAGCUUGCAGUGAGCUGAGAUCCGGCCACUGCACUCCAGCCUGGGCGACAGAGGGAGACUCCGUCUCAAAAAAAAAAAAAAAAAAAAAAAAAGUCAUUAAUGAUGAAAAAAGAGAGGUCAACAGUGAGAAAGAAUGACUGGCAAGGAAAAGACAGAGUAUGGAUUCCUCAAGAUGAGGAUACAGAGCAAGUACAGAGCCAAGCAGAAAUUCUUCUGGACAGGAGAGAAGCAAGGGAUAAUAUGACAAAAUUUACUCAUAUAUUUGUUAUUUGCAAAAAAUAUCCCAGGUAGAAAAUGUGAUGGAAAUAAUGAUGAAAAGAGUUUUCGGGUAGAAUUACCUCAUAGGAAAUGAUGCCAAUCAUUAAUUUAAGAGACAACGAAGAUCUAAAUAAAACAAUGUGCAUAAAAUAGGAAAGCUUGAUGUUUGAAGUAAUUCAGAUUUCUGGAUAGGAGAUUUAGUUUUGUUGUUUACUAAAUAAUAUCUCAAAUUUUGAAAUUAAGAGACAUGGCUCUUUCCUUCCACCUAAUUCUCAAAAAUUGAUGUAAAUAGUGCUACAACAAUAGUUAUGUGUGUUAGUAGCAUGAUAACCUAGUAGACUUAAAAAGGAACUUAUUG